Molecule: long non-coding RNA, 517 nt
Organism: Oncorhynchus kisutch (coho salmon)
Lineage: Eukaryota; Metazoa; Chordata; Actinopteri; Salmoniformes; Salmonidae
Exons: 3
Source: RefSeq, a predicted model, not a curated record
UCCAGAGCGGUCCUCACUAGUUACCACUGACACAUUGUCAUACCCGCCUAAUUCUACAAAUACUUUUCUUAAAAUGAGAUUUUAUUAAACCUAACCGUGAAUGAAGACCAAAUAUCGAUGUGGACUUUGUGGCUGUGGUAACUAGUGUAAACCACCUGGAGCCGAAUCCCGUCACAUCAUUGUACAAUUAGUUUAUUUUUCAGACUUUGGAAACACUUUCCUAGCACAGUUGUCUGUUCGGUGUUGAAACUAGAGGGGUUCCGGUGGUGAGAAGACGACGAGGGUGACUGAACAACCGCUGACAUCAUGGCAACGGACUCCUGGGCCCAGGCUGUGGACGAACAAGAAGCCGCGGCGGAAUCGAUUGGUAGCCUGCAAAUCAAAGAUAAGCUUGAGGGAAAUGGCGCAGCAAGCACGACAACAACAACCACAUCAGCAGCAGCAAGUGCUUCAAUGUCUGCAUAGAUGGAAGGAGGCGAGGGAAACAAAACAGAGGAGGAGGAAGACGACAAAGGUG